UACGAAGGGGGCUAGCGUUGCUCGGAAUCACUGGGCGUAAAGCGCACGUAGGCGGACUCUUAAGUCGGUGGUGAAAUCCUGGAGCUCAACUCCAGAACUGCCUUUGAUACUGGCUGUCUUGAGUUCGGGAGAGGUGAGUGGAAUGCCGAGUGUAGAGGUGAAAUUCGUAGAUAUUCGGCGGGACACCAGUGGCGAAGGCGACUCACUGGCCCGAUACUGACGCUGAGGCGCGAAAGCGUGGGGAGCAAACAGG
RNAcentral lists this ribosomal RNA (253 nucleotides) under uncultured bacterium. Its description in RNAcentral is "partial 16S ribosomal RNA". It matches the Rfam family "Bacterial small subunit ribosomal RNA", at positions 524 to 776 of the family's 1533-position model. The record is from RNAcentral.